UUUUGCCAUCAGACCUAUGUAUUCGUUCAAAAGUCCAUAUUUUUUUAAGCAGUUUUAACCAAAUAGCCGGGUGGGCUCGUUAAAGGCGCGUGUUAGUCAUAGACAUUUUAUAUUUACUGUUUAUUUGUGUUUGGCACAUUGGCUUGUGUUGUUUGUCUGGAAACAAAUAGCACGCAAGGCUAUUUCUAUUAACCAACCGACGAUACCACCCCCAUUUCCUUUGAGGGUUUCGAGUCACUCGUUCUUUGGACAACACCCCCGCAUUCCUCUUUGAAAGAUACUUUUUUUUUCUCGAAUUUUAAUGGCGUGUCAGAAUUUAUUGGCCACGUUUAGUCGGCCGUUUGAGACACACGCCCAUCGCUAAUUAUCCGGCAGCGGGAGAUGCAACCACAGGAAGUCGUCCAAGUGGCCACAGGCAUUCGGCAAUAUACAAAUUUUGAACAAUAAACAGAAAAUUUGUUUUUCCCGCGAGUCGGAAACGUUUAUGAUUCGAGCAACUAGAAGGAAAUGUCAUAAUUGGUUCGACUAUAGGAUACCACGUGUGCUCAAAAACAAUUAUUUGGAAAAAUGAUUUACAUAUGUAUGUUUGCCAUUCUGUCAUUUAUUUAUAAUGAUUAAUAUACCCAACAUACCCCGCAAAGCAGAGAACACUAUCAACCAAGGGGCGAGUCUAGUAAAAGAAUUUCGUAAUCGAGAUCCCGCAUCGAGCCAAUCAAGCUAAAAAUUCUGAACCCAUAGCCAUGCGGGUGCAGAACGCUUAUCAGCCGGAAUAAUAAUAGCUUGGACAACUACAACAAGGGAAUGAAAUAAAUUUAAUAAACAUUUUUAUGACUGUU
Long non-coding RNA from Drosophila santomea, 836 nucleotides. RefSeq lists it as uncharacterized. The record is from RefSeq and is a predicted model, not a curated record. The transcript is spliced from 4 exons. NCBI's taxonomy places the organism in Eukaryota, Metazoa, Arthropoda, Insecta, Diptera, Drosophilidae.